This 501-nucleotide ribosomal RNA is filed under the name uncultured bacterium. RNAcentral's name for it is "bacterial SSU rRNA". It matches the Rfam family "Bacterial small subunit ribosomal RNA", at positions 32 to 508 of the family's 1533-position model. The record is from RNAcentral.
AAUCAACGCUGGCGGCGUGCCUCAGACAUGCAAGUCGAACGCGAAAGUUCCCUUCGGGGAGCGAGUAGAGUGGCGCACGGGUGAGUAACACGUAGGUAAUCUACCUUUGGAUGGGGAAUAACAACCGGAAACGGUUGCUAAUACCGCAUAAUGCAGCGGCACCUAAUGGUGACAGUUGUUAAAGCGGGGGAUCGCAAGACCUCGCGUCUAAAGAGGAGCCUGCGGCAGAUUAGCUAGUUGGUAAGGUAACGGCUUACCAAGGCGAUGAUCUGUAGCCGGCCUGAGAGGGCGGUCGGCCACACUGACACUGACAUACGGGUCAGACUCCUACGGGAGGCAGCAGUCGGGAAUUUUGGGCAAUGGGCGAAAGCCUGACCCAGCAACGCCGCGUGAAGGAUGAAGUCCCUCGGGAUGUAAACUUCGCAAGAACGGGAAGAAUAAGUAAGAGUUAAUAUCUCUUACGAUGACGGUACUGUUUGUAAGCUCCGGCUAACUCCGUGC